This 484-nucleotide ribosomal RNA is filed under the name uncultured bacterium. RNAcentral's name for it is "partial 16S ribosomal RNA". It matches the Rfam family "Bacterial small subunit ribosomal RNA", at positions 30 to 507 of the family's 1533-position model. The record is from RNAcentral.
AUUGAACGCUGGCGGCAGGCCUAACACAUGCAAGUCGAGCGGAUGAAGGGAGCUUGCUCCUGGAUUCAGCGGCGGACGGGUGAGUAAUGCCUAGGAAUCUGCCUGGUAGUGGGGGAUAACGUCCGGAAACGGGCGCUAAUACCGCAUACGUCCUGAGGGAGAAAGUGGGGAAUCUUCGGACCUCACGCUAUCAGAUGAGCCUAGGUCGGAUUAGCUAGUUGGUGGGGUAAAGGCCUACCAAGGCGACGAUCCGUAACUGGUCUGAGAGGAUGAUCAGUCACACUGGAACUGAGACACGGUCCAGACUCCUACGGGGGGCAGCAGUGGGGAAUAUUGGACAAUGGGCGAAAGCCUGAUCCAGCCAUGCCGCGUGUGUGAAGAAGGUCUUCGGAUUGUAAAGCACUUUAAGUUGGGAGGAAGGGCAGUAAGUUAAUACCUUGCUGUUUUGACGUUACCAACAGAAUAAGCACCGGCUAACUUCGUG